RNAcentral lists this transfer RNA (59 nucleotides) under Telamonia vlijmi. RNAcentral describes it as "tRNA-Val". The record is from RNAcentral. Lineage: Eukaryota; Metazoa; Arthropoda; Arachnida; Araneae; Salticidae.
GAUAAUCAAGCUUUAAUAGCAUUUCACUUACACUGAAAAUAAUCUUUAUAUAAUUUUAU